This 253-nucleotide ribosomal RNA is filed under the name uncultured bacterium. RNAcentral describes it as "partial 16S ribosomal RNA". It matches the Rfam family "Bacterial small subunit ribosomal RNA", at positions 524 to 776 of the family's 1533-position model. The record is from RNAcentral.
UACGUAGGGUGCGAGCGUUGUCCGGAAUUAUUGGGCGUAAAGGGCUCGUAGGCGGUUUGUCACGUCGGGAGCGAAAACUCGGGGCUUAACCCCGAGCCUGCUUCCGAUACGGGCUGACUAGAGGUAUGCAGGGGGGAACGGAAUUCCUGGUGUAGCGGUGAAAUGCGCAGAUAUCAGGAGGAACACCGAUUGCGAAGGCAGCUCGCUGGAACGUUACUGACGCUGAGAAGCGAAAGCGUGGGGAGCAAACAGG